Molecule: RNase P RNA, 353 nt
Filed under: Devosia sp.
Lineage: Bacteria; Pseudomonadati; Pseudomonadota; Alphaproteobacteria; Hyphomicrobiales; Devosiaceae
Description: partial RNase P RNA component class A
Rfam family: Bacterial RNase P class A
About the family: Ribonuclease P (RNase P) is a ubiquitous endoribonuclease, found in archaea, bacteria and eukarya as well as chloroplasts and mitochondria. Its best characterised activity is the generation of mature 5'-ends of tRNAs by cleaving the 5'-leader elements of precursor-tRNAs.
Source: RNAcentral
CCAGUUGACCGGGUGACCGCUCCUGUUUCCGUGGGAGAGGAAAGUCCGGGCUCCAUCGAAAUACGGUGACGGCUAACGGCCGCCGGGGGCGACCCCAGGGAAAGUGCCACAGAAAGCAAACCGCCUCGCGUUCGCGCGCGGUAAGGAUGAAAGGGUGCGGUAAGAGCGCACCGCGGACCUGGCAACAGGGACGGCACGGCAAACCCCACCGGGAGCAAGACCAAAUAGGGAUGACGCGGGGAAACCCAGCCGGUUUUCGAGGCCUGUCAUCCGGGUUGGUUGCUCAAGUUCCGCGGCAACGCGGAUCUCAGAGGAAUGGCCGCCGCGCCAGGGAAACCUGGCCCUACAGAACC